UCAUUAACUGAAUCCAUAGGUUAAUGAGGCGAACCGGGGGAACUGAAACAUCUAAGUACCCCGAGGAAAAGAAAUCAACCGAGAUUCCCCCAGUAGCGGCGAGCGAACGGGGAGGAGCCCAGAGCCUGAAUCAGCAUGUGUGUUAGUGGAAGCGUCUGGAAAGGCGCGCGAUACAGGGUGACAGCCCCGUACACAAAAGCGCAUGUGCUGUGAGCUCGAUGAGUAGGGCGGGACACGUGGUAUCCUGUCUGAAUAUGGGGGGACCAUCCUCCAAGGCUAAAUACUCCUGACUGACCGAUAGUGAACCAGUACCGUGAGGGAAAGGCGAAAAGAACCCCGGCGAGGGGAGUGAAAAAGAACCUGAAACCGUGUACGUACAAGCAGUGGGAGCCCCACCACCAAAGCAUUUGCUGUACCGCGUUGACGGAGCGAAGCGACGUCAAACCGAUAAAACAGCAGUGUAAAGUGAGCCGCAGGGCGC
Molecule: ribosomal RNA, 481 nt
Filed under: Salmonella enterica subsp. enterica serovar Enteritidis
Lineage: Bacteria; Pseudomonadati; Pseudomonadota; Gammaproteobacteria; Enterobacterales; Enterobacteriaceae
Description: partial 23S ribosomal RNA
Rfam family: Bacterial large subunit ribosomal RNA
Source: RNAcentral